Molecule: long non-coding RNA, 1248 nt
Organism: Megalobrama amblycephala (Wuchang bream)
Lineage: Eukaryota; Metazoa; Chordata; Actinopteri; Cypriniformes; Xenocyprididae
Exons: 7
Source: RefSeq, a predicted model, not a curated record
UGUACAAUGUAAACAGUAAUCUGUAAUAUGAAAUUUACAUAAACAUGAGGGUCAUAGUGGAUUAUAAAUGUUCUUAUGUGUUUUCAAUUAAGCUCAUUAAUACUUUGAAUUUAUCAAGAGCUCUGUAAGCCUUUUGACAAAUUAUAUCCUUCAAAAGUGUAGCCUAUAAAACAUGGUAAGGGUGUCAGUCCUUCUGCCAAGGCAGUUCACAGACAUUUAUCUCUGACUAGACGUUUUCCUUGUGCCAUGUCAAGAUCCAUUGACUUGUACAUUAUCCUAUAAUAGACAUAAUAUACAUUUAUUUAUUAUGUCUAUGAUCCCGAUGCCAGUCUGGAUGGUAACGGGUCUUCUCAUACACAUCAGUCAAAGAGGACAUCUGCUGGUCAGAACCUCGUAACGCAGGGCAUUUCCUGUGACAGAGCAACAGAACAAAAGUUGACAUGAAUGUGACAGGAGACAGAUUAAUGUUAUGAUUGAGAAAACAUGUUGAUGUUCAGUGUGAUCAUAGUCUCACCAGUGCAAACUAAAGCUGGACAGAUCUUUCUGACACAGGCAAUGCAGCACAGCAUCAUGGAUAAAUGGGAAAAGCCGACCUUUUGAGACGGACUCUGAGAAGAAUCCUCAUCGCUUCAACUGCUGCUCUACACACACUGCAGCCACAGAUUUUAGUGCCAAAUAAAAGGAUCCUCAACCUACGAGUCUUGGAGCAGUACAUUACAGAAUACUUCACCACCAUGGAUCCAGCAGUACGUCUCAUCCGCUUAUACCACUGCAAGAUUAUUUAAUCCGUAAUGGUCCUUGAGGGUCGCUCGCUGAAUUUCUGGAUUUUGCCCUACUCUCAAGCACAAUAUAUAGGGAGGAAUGUACAUGAGGACCAGUGUGAUUUUUGGGGAAUUGUAUUGAAUCCAAAUAUGGUCAAUUUGACCCGGACCAUAUGGCAGUCACCAGAAAUUGAACAGUGCAUGAGGGUUAAUCUAUCACAAUCAUUUUUACAUCAGCAGGGCCUAAAAUGAACACUCGCCAAGUGCCAAAUAAGAAUCAAGGAAGCACUUGGUUAGAAGAGGGGAAUUACACAAGGAAAGACAAAAUAUAAAAUCAACAUUUUGAAUGGUGCCAUGGCCUCCAGAAAGAGUCUCUCUGGAGAAACUGAUGCAAAGACAAAGGAAUGUCAAAGUGAAUCUCCUAAACUCUGCUGUCAGUCAAUGGAUAACCCUUUAAACAUCAGCUCAGGAAACACUUCUGCUCAUG